RNAcentral lists this long non-coding RNA (320 nucleotides) under Sorghum bicolor (sorghum). Its description in RNAcentral is "long non-coding RNA (SBIC_LNC009473)". The record is from RNAcentral. Lineage: Eukaryota; Viridiplantae; Streptophyta; Magnoliopsida; Poales; Poaceae.
AAAAAACGUUCACUCAAUCUGAAAUUGGAUAAUAAGCCACAUGUCGCAGGUGCCUCGUGUAGGUAUAGUCCUUUGCAAGUUUAGUACUACACAUAUAUGAUUUACCUGUAACGAACGCACUAUUUAACCUUUUUUUUACAAGAAUUUAACCUUGAUGGGAGCGUGAUAUUUUCCAUGGCCGCUGCCUCCAUUGGUCAGAGUCUCAGAGACCAUCGCAUCCCAAAAGCUUAUGAAGAGGCAAGCCCUUCUAGUAGCACCACACCAACCACGGAGAGCAACGCAAUGAUCAGGCGCCGCCCAUUCAUGCAUUCAUUUCAGGA